Molecule: transfer RNA, 71 nt
Filed under: Marmota monax (woodchuck)
Lineage: Eukaryota; Metazoa; Chordata; Mammalia; Rodentia; Sciuridae
Description: tRNA.Ala
Source: RNAcentral
GGGGUUGUGGCUCAGCGGUAGAGCGCUCGCCUAGCAUGUGCGAGGCCCUGGGUUGGAUCCUCAGCACCACA